This 19077-nucleotide long non-coding RNA is filed under the name Glycine max (soybean). RNAcentral's name for it is "long non-coding RNA (GMAX_LNC002462)". The record is from RNAcentral. Lineage: Eukaryota; Viridiplantae; Streptophyta; Magnoliopsida; Fabales; Fabaceae.
UCCACACCAAACUUUGGCAUAUAAUACAAUGACAAAGCAAGUCAUUAAUGACCUAGAUUGAGACCUAGCACCUACACCGAGCCCUUACUAGUAUAAAAACCGAACACUAAGUGUGAGUUAUGCACACCAACACCAAAACAAACCCACUAAGAUGGCUUCCUUUGUAUCCUUCCUAGUGCUGCUUCUUGCAGCCCUUAUCCUCAUGCCUCAAGGGCUUGCUACUUACUACAAACCAAUUAAGAAGCCACCAGUGUACAAGCCUCCAGUGUACAAGCCACCAGUGUACAAACCACCGGUUUAUAAGCCAAAACCACCGGUUUACAAGCCGAAACCACCGGUUUACAAGCCACCAUAUAAGAAGCCACCAUACAAGAAACCACCUUAUGGAAAGUACCCUCCAGUAGAGGACAACACCCAUGCCUAAAGCAAGCAAUGAGGUCUAUUAUCUACUUAAUAAAUAAGAGGAACUGCUUUGUGUUUUCUAGCAUUGUGACUUACAACUUCGUAGCAAUGCAUAUUCUUGACUCUUGCAUGCACUUCAAUCCUUCGUAGCAUUAAUGAUGUGGCCAAGUCAUCAUGAGCAUCAUACUUAUUUCUUUGUGAAUGUAAAUCAAAAUUAUAAGAGAGAAAAUGGUGCUUUUGUACUACAGAUUACUAUAAAUAAAAAACUUUUAUGGUUUUCAGAUUGUGCUGGUUGAUUGAUUUGCUCUACCAUUAAUUAUGACGAAACGUAGUUUUUUUUUUUCUCUUUUUUAAUCCGUAAAAAUAAAAAAAAUAAAAAAAUAAAUUUAUAAUAAUUCACACUUUAUUUAAUUAAUCGAAAUAAAUUCCAUAAUAGAUGAUACAUAGUUUGACAUACUAUUGUUAAGCUUAAGAUUAAAGAUCGACCCUAUGUUGCAACUAAACUUUCUACAAUCAAUUUUAUAAAUUGGAUUGGUGCAUGUAAGUCUAGCUAGCUAGAGGCAGAAGAACAGUACUAGAGUAGUAGAUGGAAGCCACUCUCCACGCACCUCAAAUAACUCGCAAUUAAACUUGAGCAUAACAUCAAUAGCGACUUAAGUUAAUUUCAAUUAUGGGCUCUAUUUGAACAAAUUUCUCUAUAAAUAUUUCCAGAAGAAAAUAUUAAGAAAACAAUAAAUUGAACUUCUCAUUUAAGUUAAAAUAAACAUAUUUGUAUAUUUUUUAUAUAAAAACUCUCAUUUAACUUCUCUUAAAAAUAUUGAAGUAUAUAAAUUAAUUUUAGCUUAUGAAAAAAAAAAUCAACUUAUUUUAAUUUUCUAUUCUUAAAAAGCCAUAGUUAUAGUUAAUGUGUACAAAGACCAGUUCCUACGAGAGUUGCUGUAUCCUCCUAAACCAAAUAUCCGAAUACUCCUACUCAGUAAGAAUAUUUUGAUAUCUGUUAAUAAUUUUAUAAUAAAUUAUUUAUUUAAUUUGACAUUUUAAUAUUUAAUUUCUUUCCAAGUUUACCCCUUUUCCAUAUGACCAGUCAACUUAUCCUCUUCAUUCGACUUUAAAAAGAGUGGGUGGUGGUGCGGUGAAGCUGAAAACCACACACAAUGAUGGUGGUGGAGAAUGUGAAAAUGGUUGUGGUCGGAGAAGGAGGUACAAGGGACAAAGUUAACUGAGGAAAAAAAAAACUCAGCGUGAGAGAGGGUCUUUUGAAAAAAAGGACAAAUUUGGAAAGGAGAAAAAAAGUUAAAAAGUGUGUUAACAAGUGUGAAUGCUUAGGUGAUUCAGUUACUUUUUCGCCACAUAUGAUCGGAGGAAUAAACAUUUCUCUUUUUCAUAUUACUAUUUUUGUAUGUUUGUCUACACGUACAUGUGGACGGUUAUUUGUAUCAAGUAUCAACUACAUAUGGGUGUCAAAAUUUAAAACUGAACCGAAUUUAAUGAAUUGAUUCAACAACUCUAAUAUAUAUGUGAUGUGAUUUGAAUUUUAAUAAUUUGCGUACGAUUUUAAUUUAAUUUUGAACCUACUUCAGUACAAAAAUUUACGUAUAAUCUUACUACAAGUACUUAAGUCACCACAAUCAUCUACACUCACAUCUUGAAAAAGUGACAUUGAUAGCAAAUUCAUGAAGUACUCACAGCUAACGUCAUUUGAUGGUUGAAUGAACCCCUCAGCUACCCAUAGCUGAAUGAGUGUUCUCUUAUCAAACUCAAAACCUUUUGGAAACAAUGAACAAUAAGCAAAACAGUUUUCCAAAAAUGAAGGAAGAUGGUCAAAACUCAGUUUAAGGAUUGCAAAGAUUUUGUCCUUCUCUUGAUCUAUCUUUGAAAACCCAACUUCCUUAGAGGCUAUUACUAUGCGCACCCAGCAUAAUUACUGGUACAUCCAGCAUAACAGCAUAAUUCCCGUUUUGUCCUUUCCUAAAAUUGAUACAAAUUGUCAAUUCAUAUAAGAUUUACGGAUUGUCCAAUCUGUAAGUAGCCCAAAUAUUUUUUUAAUUUUUUUUUUAAAAAAAUAUGUUUUAUGAAUUAAUUUAAAAUUAAUGAUUCAUGCAAGAAUCAAACUUAUAACUUUCACGUUAUUAACACGACAUUCUAACCAAUCUCAAUAUUCUUGUCAACCCUUUUAAGUUAUUUUCUUUAUGUUAGUUUUUAACCGAUGUUGAAAGUGCCGAUGUUGAAUGUAUUAUCGUUAACAUCGGUUUUAAAAAAACUGAUGUUAACGUUAAUUUUACAACAUCGUUUAUUUAAAUAACCAAUGUUGAUAAUAAGAAUUACACCCAAAAAAAUGUAUUAAUGUUGAUAGUUAACAUCGGUUUUUUGGAAAAAUCGAUGUUAACGUAACUUAACAUCGGUUUUUUUAUAUAAAAUUGAUGUUAACGUAUGUGUUAAUGUUGACAGUUAACAUCGGUUUUUUGGAAAAACCAAUGUUAACGUAACUUAACAUCGGUUUUUUUACAGAAAACCGAUGUUAACGUAUGUGUUAAUGUUGACAGUUAACAUCGAUUUUCUGUAAAAAAAAAGAAAACCGAUUUUAACGUACGUUAACAUCAGUUUUUUCCAAAAACCCGAUGUUAACGUAUGUGUUAAUGUUGACAAUUAACAUCGGUUUUUCCAAAUAAUCGAUGUUGUUUUCAGGAUUUUUUUUUAAAUAUUCUCUCUGUUUUUACAAAAAAAACCAAAAUUUAACCUGUAAAUUUAAAAUUAGACCACACAGCAUAUAUGAUUUGCAUUUUGCUUUCAAAUAGGUUUUAGCAGAAAACUAGCUAGUAAACUAUUAAAAUGAAACAUCAAUUGUAAAAAAUGUAAUGCAAAGUACGGUAAACUAAUUAAGUAACCUAAAGUUACAUAGUUCCCUAACAUCCUAUGUUUGAUUUCUAACUUUUAGAUAAUAUUGUGCCCACUGCAUGUGAAGCGCCUUGAAUCUCUCUGCUUCCAAUGAUCUAACAUCAUUAAAAUACUGGAUGAUCAAAUAAAAGAUAAAUUAAUGAUGUAAUAACAAUGAUAAGAAAAUCAACUUUGUUUGAAAUAAACAAUUACCGUUUCUCAAUUAUUCCUGAAAGUUCCUGAGAUUAUCGUGGACAUCUAGUGCAUGACGUAAUAGCUGUACUCAGUGUUUCGUUUUUGUCUAUUACACUAAAUACAUAAUGAAAUUUGGAUAUUAAUUAAGCGUUAACUACAAUUAGUGUACACACACAUAAGCAGUAUAUAUAAUUAGAAGUUUAAUUUAAAUCACGUACCUUAACAACAAUCCACCUAGCCGCAGCCUUGGAUUUAGGUUGUGGAGUAUCAUCAAGUCCUUUCAAAGCACUAUUGAAUACGAGGAACAUUAAAAUAUUGAUGUUGUUGAGUUAUGCUAAUGCAAAUAUAUUGAAAACAACAUUGACCUGUUAAUUAUUCCCUUAAGGUAGUUGUCUGGCCUGUUAUGUAAAGAACAAAACCAGACAACUAGGUUUUCCUUAGGCAAAAUGACGACCAUUUGCCAGUGUCCGCUGCAGUGGAGACGAAUAUGGGCUAUUGUAAUAGUAUAGAUUAUUUAAAUUCAGUUGUUGUGUUUGACUUACCAAUUCAGGUAAGCUCCAAGGUAAACAUCGCGUUUUGAACCCUGCAUCCAACUCUUGAUGUAACUUUUCGAUUCAAAUUGUGAUUGCCCAAAUCUCUGAAUGGACUGUGGCUCGAGAAAUCCAUACACAUCGGAAUUCCCCGCUCACAUACUUGUCUCAGUCAGAUGCCUGUGUUGUUAAGACAAAGUUAAUUAUGUAUGAAUUUAAAACAAUUACUUUGUUAAUUAACAGUAAUCUAAAUUGACUUACAAAAUUCACAACUGUAUAACAGAGAUGCUGAGACAUUGACCACCGUGUGCUAUUUCAUACAGAUCUUCAUGCUUUAUGUACAAGGGAAAGUCUGAAUUAAACAGCCCGAACAGGGAAGCAUCCCACAUAACCUUGAGAGGCUUCAAAAACAAUUGUGGGAUGGUCAAUGUCAUCAGAUGCAGAGGAUCAUCGACCUCACGAUCCGGGCUUUUUGGAGGUUUUGCUAGAGACACAACUGCCUGUUAAUCAAACAUAGUUAAUUAACAAGUUUUGAUUACAGUGAACAAAUCAAUUGAAAAAAAGAAACAUAUAAUCAGAGUAAAAUACCUGUUCUGAUAAACGUUUCACGAGAUGUAUCGGCCAAGCAAGGAAGGUGUUAAGUGUCUGCCCCACUAAGGUAACCUUGUCAAUGGGUACAGGAACGGGAGUCUCUGCAUCUUUAACCUCCUCAACACCAACCUUCACUUGGCCAUGCAACAAAGGGAUGUUAUGAACCACUGUGGAUCCCUCAUAAAGUCUUCCUAGGGCAACCAAGUAGGAAGGAUUUUCUUCAAUUUACAGCCCGCAUUUGUCUGAGUCAUCCGUCUCUGGAUCGUUCCCUGAGGAAUCAACACAACUCUUCUUUGUGCUGACACGAGCACUUGAGGGACCAACCUUUGGCUCCGGAGGCAGUGUAAAUCCCUGUGAUUGCAUCUGAGACUGAAACUGGGACUGCAUUUGGCUGAAGGAUGCCAUCACCUGCUGAGUAACUUUUUCUGUGAUCGACUCCUCCAGCUAGUCCCUGAUUUGUUGGGUUAACUGUUGUAGGUCUUCAGGAGGCAUAGAGGAAGAACUACGGGACAUUCGUGUAGCCAAUCCGAAAUAUUGCUUUAUGGUCACAUCAGCUCCAGCAGCACGGACACGGCCAGGGUGCUCUGAUCGCCCAAUGACAACAGUCAGGACAUCCUGACGUCUAUGGGGGACGAACGAUCCCUGUGACGCCUGCUCCUCCAAAGAAUCCUGUACAUAACACAUAUAUCUGUCCAAGGCAUUCACAAAAUACACAAAGAUAAUUACAAUUCUUAAUUGAAAAUGACUUACAAUCUUCUCAGUUAUUUCCUUUGUUGCCUCAGACGUCAUCGGCCCAGUUUUCUUUGUGUAGACCAUUUUUCACUUCAUGUGGCGUCUGAUGGGAGAUGGAGGGUCAAUGACGCCCUCAGUGCUUUCGGAUUGGGCAGCUUCCUCCAGUCUUUUCUUUGUCUUCUCAGCCAUAAGCUUUUGUUCUAAAUAUUCAUAACCCCCACGAAACAACACGUGGGGGGCAGUGUUUUGCUUCUGGAUGACUUGUGUUUUUUUCCGCACAUCCUGCAAAAAUCGAACAUUAAUGAAAAUGAUUACUACAAUGAAUUAUAAGAAGUUAUUUUUUUUGUGGAAAACAACUAAAAUGACAAACUACAUACCUCCCACGAGGGGUCUCUGCGGGUCUGACAAAACUUGGCCCAUUUCUCCUUGCUAAUGUCGCAUUUUUCACAGACAGUGUCGUCCACACCGUCCUUGUCGGCUGCAAGUGCCCAUUUCCUGGUCAAGUCAGAUUUAAACUGCCUCCACGGCUUGUCGACAGUCUGAAGAAUUUUCUUCUUUGUCCUACUGUUAGAAGCUUCAGGGAUUUCAGAUGUUAAGAUCAAGUAGUUAACAUCGGUUUUGACAUCGGUUUUGAAAAAACCGAUGUUAACUAACUCGACUUAUUUACAAAAAUGUCAUCGUGCUUUUCUUAACAUUGGUUUUUUAAAAAAUCGAUGUUAAUCGUGCGAUGUUAAAUCUAUAUUUUGUAGUAGUGUUUAGGUAUCUCAUAAAUUAGUCAAUUUUAUUUUGAGUUCUUAAAUUUUUUUCUUUUUAUUUGAUCCUUGAUAUUUUAUUUUUGAGUUCAUGCCGUUAAAAAUUUUAAAAUGCAAUUUUUUACUACUAAAAAUAAUAACAAUGUAAAUUUAUUUAAAAUAUUAAAUUACCAUUUAUGGCAAUUCAAUUGGAAAAAAUGAAGUAGAUAUGAUCAAAUAAAACCUUACAGACAAGACGAAGUCUAAGGUGGUCAAGUGAGUUAGGUGAUUUCUGGUGGUCAAAUAAUUUUUUGCCAAUAGAUUUAUUAAUAAAAUAUUAAACCAUUCAGAUGAAAUCUUUUUGUCAGUUUUUAACAAUUAAAAUUAUUUCCUCCCUUGUCUGUCGUGCACCACCAUUGGCAACACGUCACUACCUUGCUUUACUUUCCACUCUUCUUCUUUCCCUCUAUUUCCCUUCGUACUUUGACACCUCCGUAACCUCACUGUCAUGUUGUUGAAUUCACAUCCUUGAUUUUAAUUAUGACAAACCAUUAGCAAAACAAAUUGAAAGGAUGAUGGGUUUAAGUGAUGGCUAACAUUUCUCCCAAGCGUUUUAGUGUUUAUUCCUUAAGAAGCAUAAGUGUUCUUUCAUUCUGAUGUACUUAGAAUGAUGCUUAGAAAGGUUCGAAGAAUUGUUGUGAGAGUUGAAAACUUAGAAGAAUCCUUAAAGCCCAUCAAAAUGAUGAAAUUUGCUUCCCUUUGAAUACUUAGUUCUUGGCAAGAUACUGAACAACCUUACAUAAAAGAUUCAUCAAAAGAUUCAUCAAAGGCUACCAGAAGAACAUCUUGGUUUAGAAUGAAGUUAUGCAGAGUCUACAUAGAAUGACAAACACCUUGACUCUGAGUUUCUAAACAUCAGAAUGAUUCAGAAAGACUCAUAAUGCAUCACUUAAACAAUAUUAGAAGAUUAAAGUUUCACAUUUCUUCACUUUGCAUAUGCCACCACAAUCACUGUAGGCACGUUAGAAAGUAAGAAUUGACUGCAUAAAAAGAUGUAAAAUUGUUGAAUGAUGAAGUUGUCCAUGAGAAGCAUUAAUGUAAACCAUCAGAUUGAAGGACUAAAGAAAACUACUCAGCCUGACCAUAGACAAAACACUAACACACCAACAACUCAAUUUCUACUAAGUCUUUCUAAAGUAAAUCAACUUAAGAAUGUUUCAAAGUUGUGAACAAGUGUUAAGAGUGAUGAAGUUGUACGACUUCGGAUUGAAAUUUCUAUCUAAACUUCGUCAAAGGAAUUCAUUAAGCAUGGACUCAUUCUUUACAAACAUCAUAAUGACUAUUGUGAUGGUUCUUCAGAAUCCGCAUAAAAAAAGUUCCUCAGAAUGGUAAUCUCCAAAUGGUUUUGUCUACUGUCACUUCAUGAUAGUUAUAAGGUGAACCUACUUGCUCCAGAAAUGUUUCAGUUGUGUGGAGCCCACUACAAUGAUUUUCUUGGGAGCUUUAUAAGGAAUUUUAGAAGGCUAUGAAGAACAAGUUGAAGCAUUCCAAAUUUGUAUCACAUUGUGCAAGUCCUUUGAGUAAGAAAUUUGUGUUUUAGCUUCAACCCUCUCUGUUAGAGUGACCCACUUUUGUAUUGUGCUUUCAAAGCUUGUAAUAACCUUAGAUAGAAAUGAGAGAUUAAGUUCUUGAGUGGAAUCCCUCAUGUGAGGUGAAAAUCUUUAGCAUGUGUCGUAAAACCAUAGAUAUUUUUUUUUUAUGUAAAGUCCAAUAGUGACUAGCAAAGGUGAAAUCCAGUGGUGCAGCUGGUCUAGUAGAAGAUUGAAGUCUAGUAAGGAAUUGACAAGGUUGUGAAACCCAAUGGUUGUUGGUCCAGUUGUGAAUUGGUUGUGUUACUGAAAUAACAUCUUUAAGGGUGAGGAUUGGACGUAGCCCAAGGUUGGGGUGAACCAGUAUAAAAACCUUUGUGCACUUUCUUCUCUUUCUCUAUAUUUUGUUCUUGCACAAAUCUAAAACUACUUUUGUAUAAAAUACUAAAUUUGUUAACUUUUUAUCUUAACAACUAAACUAAGUUUUGUUUUAUCAAGAGGUAUUAGUAAAGAACUAUCUUUAAAACAAAAGUCUUAAAACUGCAAAAGAACUAUUUUUUUGAAUGGUUUGCAUUUUCAUUCUGAGUUGCUUGAAUUUCCAUUCUAAGCUCAUAACAGUUUUUAUAUUCUGAACUACCAUAAAAAAAACCUUUUUGUUUUCAAAGGAAGAUUAAAAGUUUUCAAAACCCCAAUUAAACCCCCAUUUUUGGUAUUUUUCUCACUUCAAUUAGCAUCAAAGUUUAAAUGAGUUAUUCACGAGCCCUUAAUGUCAAGCUUUCAAAGCUUGAGUUUGACUCAUUUAAAUAAUCAAGCUUAAUCUCAAGCUUAAAUUUGUUUGUUUAAUUAAACAAAUGAACUUAAAUGAUUAAUUAACAAGUUGAACUUGAAUAGUUCACAAAUAGUUUGUCUUAUUCACAUCCCUAACUCUUCAUUUUUUUAUCCAUAGGAAUUGAAUAAGAUAUAAAAAAAUUUAGAACACUCAGACACCCUGCUUAAUCAACUAAGUUAGACACCUUUAGUCCCUAACUCUUCAUAUGGUUAUAAUCAUAUUCUAGUAACAAUAUGUUUCAUUUCACUACCUUACUAAAUUACAGGACUGACUUCAUUAUUUUGCAACACCCUUUACAUCACAUCAUUCAUUCAUAAAAUUUGCAUUAGUUAAAUAAAAUUAUUCAUCAUCAACAACUAUGUAAUGUAUACCACCAUGCAAUCAAAGGAUAAGCAAUUAAGAAAAUAUUUAAGCUUAUAUAAUCCAAGUAGCAUGAUUGCCUUAAUUGGUACAUAAUGCAAGGCAUAAAAACCAAAAAGUGGCAGUAUGUGUAAUAACAAAAUGAAACAAAGGAAGGAGAAAAAAUUAUUUGUGUGUUACAAAUAAAGAGGAGGAAGAAGGAAUAAUUUAAAAAUAACUCCAUAUAUUAUUUGUUCUAUUAUUUUAUCCAAUGAAUUGUGAAGAAAAUAGAUGCAUUAGUAACUAAUUAUCUAUAAAAUUAUAUGAAUUGGUCCAAUAUAUUAUUUAUUUAUUUUGUAAUUGAAGAAUUUUCUCAUGAUUAACUUAGAUGAAUAAUGAAUAAGUUAAUUAUUUUGUUGCUCCUAAUUUAACCUGGUGUGUCUAUAACUCAUGGUUCAGGUUGACCCAUUCUCUUAAUCUAACUUUGUUUGUUCAUUGAGUUGCUCUUUAAUAUGGGUGGGCUUAUUAUCAACAUGGCCAGUAAUAAUGGGAAUUGAAUCAUGCACUCUCAUAAGUGUAUCCUAGAUCCCACUAUUCCGUUUGAAAUUAUUUGAUUGCCUUUAAUCAAUUAGCACUAUCUUCCCCAACCCAUUCGCGAUGUCUCCCUCCUACGAAGGUUGCUCCCUUCCUCCUUCGUCUCAAACCUGCAUAUCCUCGUUCCCUUCCUUCUUCGUCAUUGAAGGCAAGCUUCUUCCUUUCUGGUGGGGUUGGGGUUGGGUUCUGGUAGGGAUGGGUUUUGGGGGUGGCUUCUGGUAGGGGUGGUUUCCGGUGUGGAUGGGGUCGCAUUUCAAAAUGCUCAUUCUGUAACCAAAAAAUGCUUUCGGAAUGAGCUUUCCAUAAGCAAAAAAAGCUUCAAUUUUUCAUAAGCCAAAAAAACAUUCAGAAUAGUUGUUCUGGAAGUACUUUAGCUUAAGCAACGACUAUUCCAUAAGCAAAUUUGUAAAUCCAAAACAUCCUGUCUAGAAGUGUAUUUUAUAUAUUUUGUAAGGGGGGUUCCAAAAAUUAGUAUUGGGCUUACAAAAAGCCCAUUAUGGAAGCAACAUCUGCAAUCCAAAGUAGCCUUUCCAAAAGUGUAUUUUGCAUCUUUCAAAAAGUACGAUUUUGGCUUAUGGAAUGACCAUUUCGAAAACAAAAUUGCAAUCCAUAAUAGUUUUUUGGGAGUACAUUUUGUACCUUCCAAAUGUUCAUUUGAGACAACAAUAUUUUUACUUACGAAAUAGGUGUUCCAUAAGAUUUUUCCUUCUGAAAUGGUCAUUCCAUAAGUGAAUUUAUCCCUUACGGAAAGCCUAUUUCGGAAACAAGUUUACAACAUGAACGUGAAUGCACGUUAAAAUGUACCUGCAAAGUGGAGAGUUAGAGAAGGAGAGGGACUUUUGCGGUGUUGAGUUGGACUUGCUUUGUACCUUCAAUGGUUGCGAGAAAAAGAGUUGGAGAAGAUAAGAAGAACUGGAAAAGGGGUUUAGACUUGCGCUAUAGGAAGAGAAGAACGAGAAUGGGCUGCAACUACGAGAGAAAGAAGGGAAACCGAGGAUGAGGAUAGAAAGGGUAGGUUGGGGUUUAUUAAAAAAUGGGAGAUGCAUGAUACAUUUAGGGAGGUGCAGAAUUCCAGUAAUGACCAACUCAAGUCCAAUUAAUGGUGACAUCAUAAGUUAAUGACUUAGUGUCACUUUUGAUCCAUUAUGUUUCGCAAUUAUUUUGUUUUAAUACAUUGAGUUUAAAAUGUUUCAUUCCAAUCCUUUAUGUUUUUGAAAUAUAUUGUUUUGACUCUUUUUCUAAUUUUCUAUUUGAAAUGUUAGUUUUUUGUUAAUAUUUAAAUUUCAAAAUAAUUAAUUUAUGACAGUGGUGAUUAAAAAUCGUCACAAUAUUUAAAUUAAUUAUCUUAUUAUAAAUAUAAUUAUUUAAACAUUAAUUGUAGCAAUUUUUAAUUCCAACAAAUUUCUUAUUAAAUUUUUAUAAAUGAUUCUUCAUCCUUGAAGAUUCAAUCUUCAUUCCACAAAUCAACAAAUGCAGUUUACAAAUAGCAAGAACAAUUUUUAUUUGCAAGAAACAUAGAGAUGUUCACUCAAUAAUGAUAUAAAACUUGUUCUUUUUUACACAACAAAACACAAUGAGCCCUUUUUUUUUUUAUCACAUAUGACGAAAGCAACAGCUCCAGGGUCAUUAAUUAGCUUUGCAAACGGGAUCUGAUAAUCACAACCGUGGUUGAUAAUCCUCCAAUGUAAUUUGUGUUUAUAAAUUUUAUUUUUUACUCCUUUAUAUACUAUUCAUUUUCUAAAAAAGAUUACUCAUGUAUGUAACUAAAGAUUAUAUUUUUUGUUUCUGUUUAAAAAAAUGUUUUCUUAUGUUAAUUUUUUUUCUUAAUCGAUGCUUUAAUGAUAUAAGUAAUUAACUAUUUGCUCCUGCAAUGUAGUUUAAGUGUUAUGCUACAUUGUUAGUUUUUAUAUAUGCAUGUGGGAAGGUUCACUUGGAACAAGUUGCAGUGCAAACUUGGAGUCUAAUAUACAUAUAACCAUUAAUGGAAGCCUUCAUUCCAAUAGACAAUAUAUAUAAGUUGUUUCGUGCUUAUAAAAUUGUAAUGUUUUUUGUAAAGGAUGUUUAAGUGUGUCAAAUAUGUUAUAGCAAGGCAAGGUACGUAGCAGUAAACUUUAAAUGAUGAGUCAAGCAUUUCCAGUAAAUCUACUCUAAUUGCAUGUUUACAUUGAAAUUUUAAAGUAUUAUUCAUUUUAUGUUAGUAGUCCUACAGCUGGCUACUAGCUAGCAUGAAUGUUUAUGUUGUUAUUUUGUGGAGAAAGUCAAAUAAUUGUUUUAGGUGAUUAAUUUCACGCAUUUAGAUAUGGAUGCUGAAAAUUCUUAAGUCAGACUUUGAAUUGUUUCAUGUUCAUAUUAAUAUUCAUAUAAAGAGAUAAACAAAUAUGUAACUUAGCUCUAUUUUUGUUUUGGUGAAUUAGCUCUAUUUAUUAUAGUCUAAUAAUAAUGGCUGCAUGUUGGACUAAAUAGCAGAAAUAUACUUUGCGGAGAUCAUUAAUUGUGAUCAAAAUUGUGGCAUUUUUUUAUUACCACUCAUAAAAUUAUCACCAUGAAAACCCUACUAAUUACGCAUUUAACGAUCCUCAAUUAUUUCAGUAAAAUAAAUUUUUGUCUACCUUAAUUUUUUUUUUCUGUAAAAUUCUCCUAUAGUUAAAUUUACAAUAGAAAUUUUCAAACGAUACUUUUUUUAAGUAAAUAAUUAAUUAAAUUUAUGCAAAAUAAUUAAAUUAGGUCAUAUCAAAUUUAAUAUGAAUUAGAUUAUUAUUUUAAUACUUAUUUACUUACAUAAAAAUAUUUAUUUUUUAAAAAAUAUAAUUAUUCACAUGAGAUUUAUAGCAAAUAAUUUUUUAACUUAAUAUUUUUAUAACUUAUUACAACUUUUUUAAACAUUAUACACCAUUGUUUUAUUUUUUGCAAUUUAUUUUUCUGUAGUUAAGGUACAACUUUGAUGAGGAAAAUGGACCAAUAUUAUAGAUAAAUCACAUUAGUCAAAAAAAUGUGAAUAAGAUGAUUUAUUAAAAAUCAUAUCACCAUUAAUUUAAUGUUUUAUAUAAAAGACAGGUUUGAUAAUGAGUUUAUAGUUUAGGAAAUUUAAAUUAAGUGAAGGGUAAAAUGUCAUGAAUAAGUUUGAAAAUUCAUAUCUUAUUUUUAGGUAUUGAGAGAAGGAUAAUGAAUUUUAAUGAUUUUAAUAUUGUUUAUUUGAAUUUGUGCAUUCGUUCAAUGAAUUUUAUUUUUCAAUAAAAAUAUCAAAUGUAGAAAAUAAAAUAAAAGAUUUUUUCUUUUUCACUAUUUUGAUUCUUAAUUUCAUAAAUAUUUUAAAUAAAUUUUAUAUUAAAAUUAAAAAUAUAAUAAAAAUAUUUGUUUUAAUCAAACGUGUUUUUAUUUUUUAUAUGAUUUUGAAAAGAAAUUAAAAGAGAGAAAAUACAAAAUUUUACUCACAAUAUAAAUUUUUUUCAUGAUAUAAAAAAAGAAAAUAGGAUUAAUAAAAUUUUGUAUGAUAAAAUAAUUAAUAGUAAAUUUAUUUAUUCUUUCUUUUACUUAUCAUUAUUUUAAAAAUAUAUAAAAUUUCAUCAAAAAUAAAUAUAUUGUAAUUCUUCCUCAAGUUAAAUGAUAUAUAAAGUUAUAUUUUCUUAACUCUAAUUUUUCUUUAUAUAUAUAUAUAUAUAUAUAUAUAUAUAUAUAUAUAUAUAUAUAUAUAUAUAUAUAUUUUGUUAAAUUUCCCUUUACUUCCAAAUAAAUAAUAAUUUUCAUUUUCCAAAACAAAAUUAGGUGAAGAGAUGAUUUGGAAAAAUAAGUAAAAUUUGAGAUAAUUAUUUUUAAUUAUAUAAAAAUUUCUAAACAAAAAUUGUAAAUGUUUAUCUGUCAUUAUUUUUCUGAAGUUUUAAAGUUAUUGUUUAAAAAAAAUUACACCUCCUACACAUAAUUUGUCCAGUGUGUCGCACAGAAACAUGUACUAGUGUAUGAAUAUAAGAAUAACACAUCCUUAUAUAAGUAAUUUGGUGUGAUCAUUUAUAUUUUCUUUUUCUUUUAUGUGAUUCUCAUCAUAUAAUAUAAACGGUAAUAUUAAUAUAUCGUUAGUUUGAGUAAAAUUAAGUUUAUUUUUUAAAAAUAAAAUCUAAGAUUCAAAUGUUAUAAAUAAAUAAAAAAUAUGAUUAAAAAAAAGCCAUCUAAUUUUUUUUGACAAAGGUUAAUGAUAAGUUUAAUCUGAGCAAUAACAUGACAGUAGAAGCAACCGACUGCAACUCGUCUACUUGAAUAUCUUCCUAAUAAUUGUUUCAACUUUCAAGCCUCGUGUGCUUUGACAUUUAUGCUCCAUAUCCUGAAAAUUUUGAUAAGAUAAGGGACCAAUCUAUACACAGUCCCAAGGAGAUUUGCAAGUAAGAAGAGAAAAAAAUAAAAUUCCAGACCCAUUGUUGGUGAAGGCGAAAUGUGUAGUGGGUUGUCAACGCAAUGCAAUGGUUCACAGUGUGCUGGUCUUAUUGAUGUUUUUUGGUUGCAGGUUCAAUGGUGGUUCUGAUGUAGAGAAGAAGAUGAAAGGGCCAAGGAGGAGAGAAUGGAACAGAGGAAGAAGAAGAGGGUAGAUGAGGAAAGAGAGAAAGAAAAAUCCAAAAAGAAAAUAAAAAUCCCAGCCAUUGAUUUUAAUUUUAAAAUAUCUAAUAAUUUCAAUUAGUUUCCCACUAUGCCAAUCUCGUAAAACUUUCGUCUGGCACCGUGCCUCGCUGUUGAAGGGUUCCCAUGCUAGCAUCUGCCAACACGAUCUGACAUUUCAACUAGGGGUGGGUAUAUCGGUCGGUUUAGUCCGUUUAAGAUCUGACAUGUGAAAUCAAUAUUUUAAGCUUAUUGGGUAAAUCUGGUUGUAAAAUAGAAAGAUUUUUUUUCUUUUUUUUAGAUUUAUAUUGGUUUCCUAAUCCGGUAAAUAAACGAAUUGGUCCGUGGGUUCAAUUAAUAAUUUAAAAAUAAAAAUAAAAAUAUAUUUUUAAUUAUUUGGUAGGUUCGCAAGCAAGAGAGGGGCAACACACGUCAACUGAAGAAGAGAAAGUAAUCUUGUGGAUCUCGUGACAGAAUGAGAGCUGGAGAAGGAGUGAGAGUUAAAAAGAAGAGACUGCCAAGUAUAAAGUCUCAACUCAAAUACUAAAUUUAUGUAAUUUUUAUUUUAAAAUUAAUUUUAUCUUAUUAGUAAAUCUGUGUAUAAAAUUCGUUAAAUUUGCAUACUUAACGAAUCAAACUCAAAUAUUAUUUAUAAUUAUAUGGAUUUAUAAAAAAAUAAAUUGAUAAUAUGCUCAAUCCACGAAAAUAACGGACCGUCCCCGCAAACCUGAAUAGUCAUCCCUAAUUUCAACGGAGUGGAAAGUGGGAAACCAUGAAACUUGCUACGUACUGUGAAAUUAAAAGGUCCGUACUAAUGUACGAAAUUAAUAAUCUUCUCCUCCCUUGUCGUCAUUUCUCACCUCAUCAUAUACAUAAUAAUACAUUAGUACUUUUUUAGGAGGACAGGCCAUAUAUAUUUUUAACACAUUUUUAAUAUUAUUUGUUGUUAAUUAGUUUUUUAAUAAAUUAUAAGUUAAGUUAAAAUUUAUUAAAUUUACAAAACUAUAAGAAAAAAACAUUAAAUAAGAUGUAGGAUCUACAAAAUUUAUAAUUUAUAAUAAAUUUUAACUAAUAAAUUUUAACUAACAAAUUUUCAGCAUUUUUCUAUUCUUUUAGACUACAAGUAUUGAUUAAGUUAAAACAACCAUGUGUUAAUGGUUCCUAUAGUAAUAUUAUUAGGAUAGAAUAUAAUUAUUUUUGGUACAAAAAUACAUGGGAUUUAGAUAAAAAAAAAUCCUGUUAAUUAAUGUUACAAGAUACAUUAUUUAAACAUUUAAAAAUUAACAUUACAUUUAGCAUUUCAAGUUUUCAACGGAGUAGAAAGUGGGAAACGAUGAAAUUUGCUACUCUUAAUUUAAAAGGUUCGUACUAUAAAUUAUAAUGAGAUUCGUCUUUACUUUCGCACCCUCUAUACAUUAUAGUAAUUUAAAGUGCAUGUGAUAUGGUAUGCGAAUAUUUCUACCUGUUGUUUAAAAUUUAUUUAGAAUAUAGUACGACACUGAAACAUUAUUAUCUCAUAAAAAAAAUUUAUAUAAUUAAAAAUAAAUUUAAUUUAAUACAUUGAUAAUAUAAUUUUUUUAUAUCAUCAAUUAAUUAAAAAUCAUUCUAAAUAUAAAUUUUAAAAUAACUAUUAUAAAAGUAAAAAAAAUUAAUAUACACAACAAUUCAUAAUUAGAUGACAUUGCGUUUUAAUUAAUUCAUUGAAAAUUAGUGCCUUUUAUAAUAAAUAAUCUAGAAGUGAUAUUUAAAGUGGUUUCUAAUUAGUUAUUAGUAUACAUUUUUACAGUAGCAUAGUUUUAAAAUUAAACUUCCAGUAUAUGUUUUUAUUUUCUAGAUAUACAUGCAGAUUAAAAAUAUAUUUUAAAACUAAAGGAGACUUUUUUGUUAUAUAAUAAUAAUAAUAAUAAUAAUAAUAAUAAUAAUAAUAAUAAUAUAAAGUGAGAGAUGGAAAUGUAUGAGGGGACGAUGUUCGAUUUAUUUUUAUGAUGGGAACAUAAUUUUUUAAAAUAAAAAAUAAUUAGAAAAUUUUAUUUAAAAUAUUUUUAUUAUUAAUAUAUCUCUUAUUAAAAUUAUAUAUAUAUAUAUAUAUAUAUAUAUGAGAUUGCUAGCAUACUCUAAUGUUAGAGUAUUUAAAUAACCUACAUCAAAUUAUUAGAAUAAAAAGCUUAACUAUUUAUUUUGUGAUAAUAAAUUUAUUUAAAAAAAUAUGAUAAUUUAAUAUUUAUAUUUUUAAAAUUCAUUUAUUUAUCUCUUCAACUCAUUCUCUCUCCUCUCUUUUUCUCUCACAUCAUUUAAUAUUUAUAUUUUCAAAAUUAAAAUUUAAAAUAUUUACCGAGAGAAUGAAUGAGGAAAAUAAAUAAAUGAGUUUUAAAAAUAUAAACAUUAAAUUAUCAUAUUAUUCUUAAAUAAAUUUAUUAUCACACAAUAAAUAGUUUAAUCUUUGAUCUAAAUAAUUUGGUGUAGGUUAAAUACUCUAACAUGAGAGAGUAAGUUAACAAAUCAUUUUAUGAAUGUACGUAUGGGAAGGAAGAAUGUAAUAGAAAACAAAAAAGAAAGAAAAAGAAGGAAAUUAAAAAUAAUAAAUGUAAUUAAUGAUUUAAGAAAAAAAUAAAAAUAUAGUAUACAAACGAGAAAAUAAUUACAGUCAGACUCAGAAACUGUCAUGAUAUUUAUUCAUCUCUAAGUAAAACAUAAUUUUAUUUUAUUUUAUUUUCCCCUCAGAAUUUUAAAAACUCAAGUGUCUCAUGUAUAGCCAAAAAAACCAUAGACGCAUGGUAGUUGGAGAGCCGAGAGCCUACAAUUAUUUCUGAGACAAAAGAUGGAAGAUAAAGUUUACAUAAUUGUUCUCUCUCCAAUUUCUAUUAUAAGAAAAAAAAUAAUUUCAUAUUAAUUAUAAAAUUAAUUAAUUUUAUUAAAUUAUGUUAAUUCCAAAUAAAAAUAAGUUUUUUAAAAAAAUUAUUUUUCAUUAAAACUUGAUAUCAAACAUAAAAAAAAAAUUAUCCUAUCAAAUGAAAGACAUUUAUUUAAAAAUAGUUUUAUUAAAUACGGUAAAGUUAAUUAACUUUUGUUUAUAUAAAAAAAAGCAAUUUUUUUGUUGCUUAUUAAAAAGACCAGUGGGAGUACUAAUUAAAACAAAACUAUGGCUGCUAUGUAACAUGGCACCAGAGAGUCUCAAUCCUUAGAGAAAUUAAAUACCAAACUUUGACAUUUCACAGAGUGAUGGUAGUAAUAAAUGACAAGGAAUGAGACCCAGCAUGGACCCAGUCCUUUGACCACUAUUAUUGUCCAGCUCAAUUGAAAUUUUUUUAUUAAGAGUUUAACUUAGUUGAAUAUGAUAAAUAAAUUAUUAUAAUUUUUUAAUAUUUAUUUUUAAUUUUUAUGAAUAAAAAACUAUUACAAUCUCAGUUCAUUUUCUUGGGACACGUAAUCAAGUUUAAUAACUAUUUCUCAUAGCUUAAAAAUUCAGUUAUGUCGAGUAUUUAUGUACAAAUUAGUUAGAACAAUAGGCGCGUAUAGUGGUCGCCCUCUAAGACAUAUAAUUGUGAAGAUCGAAGAGAAGCUUUAUACAAUUAUUAAUGAUAAAACUAUCAUUGUUAUAUAACAUGGGGCCAUAAAUGAGUGCAUGGAUUGAAUGAUGCAAAAUUGUUACAACUUAAUUAAUUAUCUUGAGUUUUAAUUUUAAAUAUAUAUUUGUGUUAAAUACUCCGGAAAGAGUUUUAUGUUCAUAAUUAUUAUAUUUAACUUGAACAAUAUUAACUCAACUGAUGAUGCAUAUAUAGUUUAUACAAAAAAUAUAUAUAUAACAUGGGACCUAGGCGAUGGCAAAACGGGUUGGAUCUAUUCGAUCAACCCAUUUUGGGCUUUUUUUUCGAAUUAGGUUGGAAUUUUCAAUCCUUCAACUGCUUUGCUAUGUUUUGAUCCGCUACAAAAUGGGUUGAGAGGAAAGUAGAACGGACCAACUCUCUAACCCGUUUUUUUUAUUAAGAAAUAAUUUUAGUAUUUAUUUUGAUAUUUUAUACUAAUAUUUAUUAAUUUUCAAUUAGCUUAUUUUUUGUCUAAAUAAAUUAUUAUUAAAAAUUUAAGGUAAUACAUUUAAUUUUUUAGUAAGUAUUUAUUAUUUAAUAUUUAUAAAAGAUAAAAUUAAUUAAAAUACAUUUAUAAUUUAUUUUUUUAGUUUUGACAUGACAAAAACGAAAUGAACUGAACACUUUGAAUCUAUAUAUAAAAUACGGGAUGAGAUGGGAUGGAUUGAUCCGUUUUUUAUGGAUUGAUCCCUUUUUGCUAGCCCUAAUGGGACCAAAGAGUCACUAUCCUUUAGAAAAAUUCACACCAAACUUUUGACAUUACAGGCAGGGACAAUGCGAGUAAUAAAUGGCAUAGAAUGAGACCCUAGUCCUCUGGCCACUAUAAAAAGGGAUGAUUGUGUGUGUUACAUGCAUCAGCCACCACCAUUGACUAGUAUCAUUAAGAUGGCUAAUUCCUACUUAUCCUUGCUUGUCUUGAUCCUUGUAGCUCUGCUCCUCACCCCUCAAGGGCUUGCUGAUGAAUCUGAUUCUUACUAUAAGCCACCAGUUUACAAGAAACCACCAGUGUACAAGCCCAAGCCCAAGCCACCCAUUCACAAGCCCAAGCCACCCGUUUACAAGCCCAAGCCACCCGUUUACAAGAAACCCCCUUAUGGUAAGUACCCACCAGUUCAAGACAACGAUCACUUCUAAACCAUGCAACAAGGCAUGUUAAUGUUAACUAUCUACUAAAAUAAAGAGGUUCAGUUAACCUACUACGUACGUUGCUCCUUUUAAUUCCUAAAUCGUAAUUUACAACUUUGUAGGGAUGAGACAUUCUUGGCUAGCUCUGCACUUCAAUCCUUUAUUUGUACAAUGCUAUGGCCAAGUCAAUACCAUGCAUCUUAUCUAUGUGUGUCAUUGAACGAAGUAGUUGCGUGAAAAUGAUGCUUGUACUAUGAAUAAAUAAUAAAAGAACUUUAUCAUUUCAAGAUUGUGCUGUUUAGUUUAUUUGCUGAACCACCGUUACUGACCAUAAAUAAUACACAUGCAGGUCUUGUUUAGGAUAAACUUAAUUAUCCGUAA